UGUCCCGUUCUGUACGCACCAUUUUCAAACAAACAAAACUAUCUGCUAUAAUGCUGGGCUUUUUUGCAGUGGCUCUUUAUUCUACAAAGGUAAAGUUUAGAGUACAUGCAAACCAAAUGGAUAAUCUCCAGGAUGCUCGAGCGUAUGCUACGAAAGUGAGUCAUGUCAGCAGUCUUUUCAACUUCAAUUCUGCGCAUCAUCUCCAGAAUGCUCGAGCGUAUGCUACGAAAGAGAGUCAUCUCAGCAUUCGUUUCGACCUCGAUUUUGUGCGUCAUCUCUGGAAUGCUCGAGCGUAUGCUACGAAAGAGAGUCAUCUCAGCAUUCGUUUCGACAUCGAUUUUGUGCGUCAUCUCUGGAAUGCUCGAGCGUAUGCUACGAAAGAGAGUCAUGUCAGCAUUCGUUUCGACAUCGAUUUUGUGCGUCAUCUCUGGAAUGCUCGAGCGUAUGCUACGAAAGAGAGUCAUCUCAGCAUUCGUUUCAACGUCGAUUUUGUGCGUCAUCUCCAGAAUGCUUGAGCGUAUGCUACGAAAGAGAGUCAUCUCAGCAUUCGUUAUAACGUCGAUUCUGUGGAUCAUCUCCAGAAUGCUCGAGCGUAUGCUACGAAAGUGAGUCAUGUCAGCAGUCUUUUCAACUUCAAUUCUGCGCAUCAUCUCUGGAAUGCUCGAGCGUAUGCUACGAAAGUGAGUCAUCUCAGCAUUCGUUUCGCUUUCGCCUUAAUUAAAUUAAAUUAACAAGUCAAGAAAUCUUUAAAAUUUUAAAUAAAAAAAUUUGACUUGCCAUUGUGUCUUUGCUUUUUUGUUAGUUUUUUGGAAAGGAAUACCAUUAGCUAAUAUUGGAGUUUGAAGUUUUUGUGUACAAAUUCUAUUUAAAAGUUUACAGCUCUAAGAGAUCCUGGAGUGGUGACCCGUCGGUAAGUCAGAACAUCGUUAAAAUCAGUAGUUAAAUGUUGUUAAAAACCCUUCCGCUCUCUUUGGGGUCCAGAUGACUCCAACCACAUAUGGAUGUGUGAUUCCUUCCAUGACAAAUGUGGAAAAAAGGUAGACAGAAUUUUAUGUCCGUCAUGGACAUUAGUGAAACUCAAAAGUCAAUGAUAAAAAAAGUUCAGCGCACUGUCUUGUGGGGUCCAGAUGACCCCACUUUUAAUGUAAACAGGCCAAGGAGAGUGGAAGGGUUACAUAAAUUCUGAAAGGCGAGGCUGUUUCUCCUUUGGAUGUGUGGUGUCCAUGCAACUGUGAGAACGAUUUGUUUAAAUAUUUAAGUUUCUACUAAUCUAACUUGCACUGGAUCAAUCCUUUGUUCAGGUAAGGCACAAUAACUCCUAUAUCUGCUUUGGUUGUGCAGCAUAAAAUACUUUUGGUUGAUUAAUACUUGCAAUAAGGAGACACUUCUUGGCAAUCAUGAUUUGAUGUGAAUGUGGAUUUCAUUCUGCUCUCCAAAAGUGUGUAUGAUUACAGAGAAGUGAGUUUUUAUGCUGAGAGUGGAGAAAGGACACGAUGAAACCCGGAGGUCCAUGGGAAGCAACAGUGCGAGCCAGUUUGAUCAAGAACAGGAACAGCUGUUUUCUGCAACUGAAGGAUCACAAGUAACAUCGUUCUGUUCUGAUGAAGACGGAAAUGAAAGAGAUGAAAGAGGAGGAUUGCAAGAACAUGACUUGGUCAUGAUCAACGACUUUGACCUGUUUACUGGUCAAGAAGGGCGCGAGACUGAGAAUCUGGGCAGAGAAGAUUGGGACUAGAACAAAGUUUGUGAAAAAAAACACACAAAUUGGAGUGUAAUGCUAUAUGAUCACUGUUGAACUCUGCAUAUUUUGCAGAUCAUUUUACAUGUUUUUGUUUUCAAAAUACUUUUGCUUUGUUUUGUUUUAGGCGAUGCAUCUGUAUUCAUAUGUACCCUGUGUGGUUACUGCUGGACGGCGCCAGAGUAGCAAUAUAAUUUUUCCCGUAUCUAAUUAACAGUCUAAUCAAAAAUCAAAGGGUCUGUUCGCCGACGGGUUUUUUCGAUAUUGCACAUAUGAGUUAUAGGUGCAUGCCUAGUUUUACAUCAUCGGUUGAGUCCAGUGAGGUAAUACAGUGAGCAGCUGACGGACAAAAUAAGUAAUGCGUUAGUGUAUAUUUUACAGUUACAUUGGAGUAUACCCUUUUGGUUGUUAAGUCAGUAGUAUUUUGCAGUUUUUUAUUUUUACAACUCACAUCUUGUUACUCAUCAGUAUUAUUUUUAUAUUUAUUUCGUGCCAGUACUUGCUUACCAGCAUUCUUUGGUUAACACUCACUCAUUUUUGUGUUAUUUAAUGUUACUCAUUCUGGAUCAGUACCUAAAGUGUUUUUGUAUAUCUGUCUGGUGUUACUGGCAAAUUUUAUGGACUGGGGUUGGAUCGCUAAAUGGGUUAACUCUCUAUACAAGUUUUCUCAAUAAGUGUUGUGACCAUUAUUUCCAGGUAGAUUUCCCGCUGGGCCCCACCACUGAGAUUGGCCAAGACACACAUGGUUUUGUUAUUAUGGGAAAAAAGUAAAAUGUGCUAAGAAUGACGUCCCCCAGUCUAUAAAAGUUAUGGGUAACAGAAAAUUGGGGCUUCUUCUUGACUGGGUUUGAAUUUGUUUGGGAUGCCGAGAUCUUCUGUUUAUUUCUUGAAUAAACAGACCCUUUGAACAGAA
Oryzias melastigma (Indian medaka) is the source of this 2651-nucleotide long non-coding RNA. RefSeq lists it as uncharacterized. The transcript is spliced from 2 exons. NCBI's taxonomy places the organism in Eukaryota, Metazoa, Chordata, Actinopteri, Beloniformes, Adrianichthyidae. The record is from RefSeq and is a predicted model, not a curated record.